This 299-nucleotide ribosomal RNA is filed under the name uncultured bacterium. RNAcentral's name for it is "partial 16S ribosomal RNA". It matches the Rfam family "Bacterial small subunit ribosomal RNA", at positions 30 to 330 of the family's 1533-position model. The record is from RNAcentral.
AUUGAACGCUGGCGGCAUGCCUUACACAUGCAAGUCGAACGGCAGCACGGGAGCAAUCCUGGUGGCGAGUGGCGAACGGGUGAGUAAUAUAUCGGAACGUGCCCGGUCGUGGGGAUAACGUAGCGAAAGCUACGCUAAUACCGCAUACGAUCUACGGAUGAAAGCGGGGGAUCGCAAGACCUCGCGCGAUUGGAGCGGCCGAUAUCAGAUUAGGUAGUUGGUGAGGUAAAGGCUCACCAAGCCGACGAUCUGUAGCUGGUCUGAGAGGACGACCAGCCACACUGGAACUGAGACACGGU